This 484-nucleotide ribosomal RNA is filed under the name uncultured bacterium. RNAcentral's name for it is "bacterial SSU rRNA". It matches the Rfam family "Bacterial small subunit ribosomal RNA", at positions 28 to 507 of the family's 1533-position model. The record is from RNAcentral.
GACGAACGCUGGCGGCGUGCUUAACACAUGCAAGUCGAACGGAGCUUCCUGGAUAGAGACUUCGGUCAAUUGAACGGAAGCUUAGUGGCGGACUGGUGAGUAACGCGUGAGGAACCUGCCUUUCAGAGGGGGACAACAGUUGGAAACGACUGCUAAUACCGCAUAAUGUAUUUUGGGGGCAUCCCUGAAAUACCAAAGCUUUAUGUGCUGAAAGAUGGUCUCGCGUCUGAUUAGCUAGUUGGUGAGGUAACGGCUCACCAAGGCGACGAUCAGUAGCCGGUCUGAGAGGAUGAACGGCCACAUUGGGACUGAGAUACGGCCCAGACUCCUACGGGAGGCAGCAGUGGGGAAUAUUGGGCAAUGGGGGAAACCCUGACCCAGCAACGCCGCGUGAAGGAAGAAGGUUUUAGGAUUGGUAAACUUCUUUUACCAGGGACGAAGAACGUGACGGUACCUGGAGAAAAAGCAAACGGCUAACUACGUG